UACGUAGGGUGCAAGCGUUGUCCGGAAUUAUUGGGCGUAAAGAGCUCGUAGGCGGUUUGUCGCGUCUGCUGUGAAAACUGGAGGCUCAACCUCCAGCCUGCAGUGGGUACGGGCAGACUAGAGUGCGGUAGGGGAGAUUGGAAUUCCUGGUGUAGCGGUGGAAUGCGCAGAUAUCAGGAGGAACACCAAUAGCGAAGGCAGCUCGCUGGGACGGUACUGACGCUAAGGCGCGAAAGCGUGGGGAGCGAACAGG
This 253-nucleotide ribosomal RNA is filed under the name uncultured bacterium. RNAcentral's name for it is "partial 16S ribosomal RNA". It matches the Rfam family "Bacterial small subunit ribosomal RNA", at positions 524 to 776 of the family's 1533-position model. The record is from RNAcentral.